Molecule: long non-coding RNA, 1122 nt
Filed under: Apteryx haastii (Great spotted kiwi)
Lineage: Eukaryota; Metazoa; Chordata; Aves; Apterygiformes; Apterygidae
Description: lncRNA (ENSAHAG00000017123.1)
Source: RNAcentral
AUGCCUCAGCACAAGCCAGAUUUUCAGAAGGAACCUGAAUCCAGCUCCAAACCUGAAAUGCGAGUCCCUGGCUGCCAGUCCAGGGCUUUGGCAGUCCCUCCUUUUCUCCAAUGGAAGAUUGUGUCUGACUGCGCCGGCUCCUCUGUUUCCAGCUCAGAUUUAAACAGGGAAGCAGCAAUGCCAUCCCUCCCAGGGGUUAUUUGUCCCUUCUCAUGGCCAGCUUGCCAGGCCUUUUUUCCUGCAGUCUUUCCCAUUUCUCAAGCCUCCCCCCACCCCGAGAGGCCCUGGCCCCACCACCCGAGCACUGCCCUGUGCUUAGCCUUAUGGUGCAAGUGCAGUGCUGACGGCAAAGAGCUGCCGCGGUGCGAUGCGAAACGCCUGCCCUCUGGCCUUUGGCUCAGCCUGCCCUUGUCACCGAAGCGUUUCCUCUCUACCGCUCGUCAAGCUGUUGCACCAGCAAAGCAGAACCUAAUCGUUUCCCCUGUUUCCUGGUGCGUGCAUACCUUCACGCAUGAAACUGGCCGUUGUGCUCGGCAGACAGGUACACAAAAGGUCUUGCUGUUCACAGACGCCACGUUUCCACCUCCCUCCCCUCGGUCAGCCAACAAGACACUGGGAGCGGGAAAACACGCAUGCCAAAAAUAUCCAAGCCAGGGCAACAAGUGCAUCGUAACCCCUUGCAGUGUAGCUGGGGAGCUGCUCUAUUAUUCAUGGCCCAGGGCUGCUAGGGAAGCCCGCAGAGGCUAUGCGUCCAUCAGGGCUGCACAGGGCCUUGCAGGCCAGCUGCGUGCACAGCAGCACUGUCAGCACAGCCCUGGCGGUUUGCUCACACCCCCGCUGCCCAGGGAGCUCCGGCCCUUGCUGGCCUGCUUUGCCCCCCCUGGGCUUGCCUCUUCCCCCUCUGAGGCUGCGAGGUGGGAAGGAGCCACCACCAUUAGUCUCCCGGAGAGGAGAGCAGAGCCGAGCGGAGCAGGCCGGCAGGGUGUUCCCACAGCCGGGUUUGCACGGUUUGGAAGAAACAUUGCUUUCUUCACCAGCACGUGCAACGCAAGCCGCGCAAGGCGCAGUUAUCAAACGCCUUCCGUAACAACCCUUACGAACCACUCCCAGCUCGGCUGUUAA